ACCUGUGACUUGGGAUCUCCUUCCCCUCCAGACCCACUGCCCUGCAAAUCUAUGAUGCAUCCUCAUAUCUCGAAACUAAACACAAAAUGAUUUUAGUACGGGCUUAAGCAAGUAGGUAUAAGAAAAGAUUUUUAAGUGGAAUGUAGGAGGAAGAGGAGGAAGACGCUAAGAGAGGUGCAGCGACAAACCUAUGAUCGAGCAUUUACCAUCUCCACUACUAAAAAGGAAACCCAAUCUGCUCCCCACUUUCUUAUUAUCGUCCCGUGUCUUCACUAAUAGUAAGCAACACUAGCAGUAGCUUUCUAAAGUAUUCCAUUAUCGCGUUGAGUUUUUGGACUUGACCAUAUAACGCUAUGUUUUGAUAAAUGGAUGGCGCA
RNAcentral lists this long non-coding RNA (377 nucleotides) under Elaeis guineensis (African oil palm). Its description in RNAcentral is "long non-coding RNA (EGUI_LNC019372)". The record is from RNAcentral. Lineage: Eukaryota; Viridiplantae; Streptophyta; Magnoliopsida; Arecales; Arecaceae.